RNAcentral lists this ribosomal RNA (497 nucleotides) under uncultured bacterium. RNAcentral describes it as "partial 16S ribosomal RNA". It matches the Rfam family "Bacterial small subunit ribosomal RNA", at positions 28 to 507 of the family's 1533-position model. The record is from RNAcentral.
GAUGAACGCUGGCGGCGUGCCUAAUACAUGCAAGUCGAGCGAACAGAUAAGGAGCUUGCUCCUUUGACGUUAGCGGCGGACGGGUGAGUAACACGUGGGUAACCUACCUAUAAGACUGGGAUAACUUCGGGAAACCGGAGCUAAUACCGGAUAACAUUUGGAACCGCAUGGUUCUAAAGUGAAAGACGGUUUUGCUAUCACUUAUAGAUGGACCCGCGCCGUAUUAGCUAGUUGGUAAGGUAACGGCUUACCAAGGCGACGAUACGUAGCCGACCUGAGAGGGUGAUCGGCCACACUGGAACUGAGACACGGUCCAGACUCCUACGGGAGGCAGCAGUAGGGAAUCUUCCGCAAUGGGCGAAAGCCUGACGGAGCAACGCCGCGUGAGUGAUGAAGGGUUUCGGCUCGUAAAACUCUGUUAUUAGGGAAGAACAAAUGUGUAAGUAACUGUGCACGUCUUGACGGUACCUAAUCAGAAAGCCACGGCUAACUACGUG